CAGACGUCCCCGCUUUUGGUGGCCUGUCCCCGGCUGGAGCUACGCUAAAAACAGACUGCAAAGUGAAAUAAUAUUUUACGUGGCAAGAAAGACCAGACAGCAGAGUCUGUCGGUUGACGUCUCAAUCGCGUUAUGCUUAUUUUGUCCAGCAGAGGGGGCUGCUCACUAUAUCAUCUUCAUUCACUCUUCUUCUACUAACUACCUGCUCGCGCUAGUUUUAGAGAAAACUGAUGUGGAAAACUCAGCCAGAAGCUAGCAAGUGUCAAGUGAAUCGACAACAUCACCACAAACGUCUUUUCAAGCCAGGAGUUCAUGGAGAAGCUGGCCAAAGACAAAGCAAUCCUGAAGAAGAUACAUUCUGCUGAGAAAUAUUCAGAUUAGGUUGGUAUAAGUAUAUUAUGUAGUUACCAAUCUCAUUUUAUUUCUUUAUUUUGUUAAGUAUUUCACAUAUACUAUUGUCUGGGUUUUUUUCUUCAAUUUUGCUCAUGUUCUCUUCUGUUCUUAUUCUACCUAGACUACCAGGACCACAGAAUGGCUGUUCAGAUUGGACAGUUCUGUCUUGUCUGUAAUGUUUCUGUAAUAAAGUUGUUUUUUCUAUCACA
Long non-coding RNA from Oncorhynchus tshawytscha (Chinook salmon), 602 nucleotides. RefSeq lists it as uncharacterized. Lineage: Eukaryota; Metazoa; Chordata; Actinopteri; Salmoniformes; Salmonidae. The transcript has 2 exons. The record is from RefSeq and is a predicted model, not a curated record.